AUUGAACGCUGGCGGAAUGCUUUACACAUGCAAGUCGAACGGCAGCACGGACUUCGGUCUGGUGGCGAGUGGCGAACGGGUGAGUAAUGUAUCGGAACGUGCCCAGUCGUGGGGGAUAACGUAGUGAAAAUUACGCUAAUACCGCAUACGAUCUAUGGAUGAAGGCGGGGGAUCGCAAGACCUCGCGCGAUUGGAGCGGCCGAUAUCAGAUUAGGUAGGUGGUGGGGUAAAGGCACACCAAGCCAACGAUCUGUAGCUGGUCUGAGAGGACGACCAGCCAAACUGGAACUGAGGCACGGUACAGACUCCUACGGGAGGCGGCAGUGGGGAAUUUUGGACAAUGGGCGAAAGCCUGAUCCAGCCAUUCCGCGUGCAGGAUGAAGGCCCUCGGGUUGUAAACUGAUUUUGUACAGAACGAAAAGGUUUCUACUAAUACUAGGAGCUCAUGACGGUACUGUAAGAAUAAGCACCGGCUAACUACGUGCCAGCAGCCGCAGUAA
This 500-nucleotide ribosomal RNA is filed under the name uncultured bacterium. RNAcentral's name for it is "partial 16S ribosomal RNA". It matches the Rfam family "Bacterial small subunit ribosomal RNA", at positions 30 to 523 of the family's 1533-position model. The record is from RNAcentral.